AUUUUUUUAAGAAAAAUCAAUAAAUAAUUUAAAAUAAAACCUGCUCAAUGUAAAUUAUAAAUAGCUGCAAAAUUUUUGUACUAAGGUAGCAUGAUCAUUAGCUUUUUAAUUAAAAGAUAGUAUGAAUGGUUUAACGAAAUAUAAACUAUUUUUUUCAAUUAAGUAAAUUUAAAAUAAAAGUUAAAAUUCUUUUAAUUUUAAGAAAGACGACAAGACCCUAAUAAACUUAAAAUUUAGCUGGGGUGGCAUAAAAAUUAAUACUUAUUUAAUAUAAUAUAUUAAACUUUAAAUUAUUAAAUUAUAAUAAAGUUACUAUAGGGAUAACAGCGCAAUUUUAAUUUAAAGAUCUUAUUAAUAUUAAAUAUUACGACCUCGAUGUUGAAUUAAUUUAAUUUUAUAAAGCAAAAUUUAUAAAAAGAGGUCUGU
This 426-nucleotide ribosomal RNA is filed under the name Modisimus cienaga. RNAcentral's name for it is "partial 16S ribosomal RNA". Lineage: Eukaryota; Metazoa; Arthropoda; Arachnida; Araneae; Pholcidae. The record is from RNAcentral.